Long non-coding RNA from Gekko japonicus, 225 nucleotides. RefSeq lists it as uncharacterized. The record is from RefSeq and is a predicted model, not a curated record. Lineage: Eukaryota; Metazoa; Chordata; Lepidosauria; Squamata; Gekkonidae. The transcript has 3 exons.
UUUUUCGCGUCACUUCCGGGUUCCAUAGGCGCCUCGCGUUUAUCUCGGGCUCCUUCCCUCCCCAUUCCCGGCAGCAGCAGAAAAAUGCCUUUGAGGCCUUCUCCACCAUCUUCUCCAGGUGCUGAAAGGAAAAGAGUCACCAUGCGGCCAGCUCAGGGCCAGAUGUCCUUUGAAGAGGUGGCCGUGUAUUUCACCCAGGGGGAGUGGGCCCUGCUGCGCCCGGCC